This 840-nucleotide long non-coding RNA is filed under the name Fukomys damarensis (Damara mole-rat). RNAcentral's name for it is "lncRNA (ENSFDAG00000023962.1)". Lineage: Eukaryota; Metazoa; Chordata; Mammalia; Rodentia; Bathyergidae. The record is from RNAcentral.
GUGGAUUUUGGUUCUACAUCACUCUCCUCUAGAAUAUUUUAAAUUAAGAAAAAAGAAAUUAGCAAGAAUAUAACUAUAAAAUUGGGGAGUCCAAUUUGUCAUACAUAAGUAGUCAUUCUAUUGGUUAUAAGCACAGUGGUGCUAAAACACAGGACACAUUUUGUAGGGCCAGAUCAAAUGGAAAUGUUCAGAUAAUUUCCCAUAAGUUGACUGUUUAGUAUCAAUCUACUCUUCCUUCUCUUAGAUCUUGUACUCAUUUACUUUCAAAAAAUCCACCAGACAGCAUCCAGACAUCUGGGGGUGAAGGAGUUCUAUGCAGAAAGGCAGCAACGACUGAGUUGAGAGAAUCUACCUUCAAGGUCUUCUCUGCACAUCAAUCAAAGGUAGAGCGCUGCUUUAAAUCUGAGACUGCUGGUUACCACAUGAACCACAAAUCAUACUAAAAGUGAUAGUUAUUUUGUUUGUUUGUUUGUUUGUUUUGGUACCGGGGAUUGAAAAAUCAUACUAAAAGUAUUUAAGCAAUUUUAUAGGAGGCACUGUAAACAUUCUGUUUACAGAUGGGGCCCAUGGCGCCAAAUGAAGCUCUUGGGAGUCUCCUGUCAUGGAUUACAGAUGUGCACCACCAUGCCCCGCUUCUUCCACACUUAUGAAGAAAGGAUGAUCACCAAGAAAGGAAAGCUGAAUAUGUGCUUUGGCUGAAGCUAAGAAGGAGAAUAAACAUUAAUGAACAGAAAGGACACAAACACCAUUCCUUAUAAAUCAGAAUAAAAGUCUAAGGAUGUGUUGUCUCCCCAAACCAGUCUGUGGUGACCUUUCUGUGGAAAGAGCGCUCAUUCUUCC